UUUUUUUUUUGGUUAUGGCAUCUAGUUCAAUUUACAUGAUAGACACAAAUUGUAUUUUAUUCAAGAUGAGUUUAAUUUAAUUAUUUUCACAUAACAGAAAGAUCUCAAAGUGAUUGUUUGGAAGAUAUCAUAAACCGUUGGACUAUCCCUAUUUUCCGCCUCACAUUAUUGUCAAGAAAAUCAUUGGCUCAUUCAUGCUAGGCUUUUCUUGUUUGUUUAAUUUGUUCGUGAACCUUUAUUCGAUGAUAAAAUAAUUAUUUUUUAAAUUCAGCAUUGACCUAACGGUCAAAGGGCAUAAGUGAACCAAAAAGGUAGACAUAGGGGUAUUUUUAGCCCAAUGGGUGGAUGAAGGGUAUUUUUAGACUUUUUUCAAUAGUUCGGGGGCAUUUUUUACCCUUUUUAGUUUCUUAAUUCAUCACCUUUUAAACUGUAAAAAUGUCUAGAGAGUUUUGCUAAGCUGUAUAAAAGUACGUAUGUUAUUUCAUUCUACUUCUAUUAAUGACUUUUAUAUGACAUUUAAAAAAAAUUAGCGAACCGUACCAAUACCGAAGAGAAACCGACAUGAUUGGGACGACUUCAAAAAAUCCAAUUUUGGUUAUACAUAAUAGAAUAACCGAAAAAUUGGAAUGAUACAAAAUUUUAUAAAAUAAUCGGUCGAACUGACCCCUGACCCUCCUACUUCUAAGUACUCUGAAACUACCCCCACCCACCCACACAUAUUAUAUUAUAUUCAAUGCAAGGAUAAAUCAGAUUUUAUUUUUGUAUCAAUAGCAGAAAUCAUAUUUCAAUGUUANNNNNNNNNNNNNNNNNNNNNNNNNCCAUUUUUUAGUUUCUUUCGUUAAAACUAAUUUUAAAACUGAGCAGCAAUGCCGAAAAGAAACUGUCAACUGAAUAUUUUAUUCCAGCUUAACUUUAAUUGAUUGAAAAAAAGAAAUAGGGGGUAAAAUAAAGAGAAAAAGACAGUUAGUAAUGGCAUAGAGUUUAAAGUUGAAGAAGAGUAAGGCGCAUGCACAAAGACCGGAAGUUGGGGGGGUGAAGUACCUUCCUGGGACAGCCUGCAUGUGAAAAGGUCGGACUCUGGGGAAACAAAAGCAAAAGAUGUUAGCACCUCCCAACGCAUUUUGUAGCUAUGGCUUAAUUUCCCCAUUUUUUAAUUAAGAAAGAACUAGCCACAUGUACUAUACAUUAUUAAUAAGAAAUUAAAAAAGGAAGAUUCCAUGCAUGGUGCAUCUCUCGUACGUACUAGUAAUAUUAUAUUAUACUCCGUUCAAUUAGAAAAAUGUGUAGCCAGCCUUUUCAGUAUCCAGUGAUUAGCCACUUGCUGGAUCUUGAUUUUCCCAGAAAGUAGGUAGUAAUUUUUCAAGAAAUGGAAGUAGUUUUCAGGGAAGGGAGGUCAUUAGAGGAAACUCCAACAUGGUCUGUGGCAACAGUUACUACUGUUAUGGUAUUUGUUUGCCUUUUUGUCCAACGCUCCAUUUACCGAUUUGGAAGGGUCAGUACUAGCUACUCAAUCACUCAACUUUAUUAAGCACAGAAUGGACAGUCUUUUCUUAAUAAGUUGUGGGUUUGUGUUUAUACAUAUGCAGUGGUUGAAGAAGACCAGAAGGAAAGCUCUUUUUGCUUCUGUCGAGAAGAUAAAGGAAGGUUAGCAAUUGCUGCUUCUUUAACUUUUAGGAACAACUUACGUUGCGACGAUUUGUUAGAUUUUGACUUCUUUUCUUAACCUCUACUUAGAAAUGAACAAACAGAUCCUUGCUUGCAAUUUCAUAUAAUGCUCAAUUAUGAUGCUUCUCUUCUCAAGAUCUUUUAUGAUCUUUUUCAUUUAUCUUUUUUACUUGAAGGGCUAUAAGUUGUCAAAUUGUGUGACUGACUCAUCUAAAAGGUUAAGUUGUUAUAGAUUGCACACAUUUAUUUAUUUAAUUGUAUCUUCAACAUUUAUCAUUUGUUUCAAUUGAUUAUUAUUGGGACAGAGCUGAUGCUGCUUGGGCUUAUUUCUUUGUUGUUGGGACAAUGCGCAAGGCAGAUUUCUCAAAUUUGUGUGGAUUCAUCCCUUUUCAGUAGUAAAUUCUACCUUUGUUCUCAAGAAGAUUAUGACAGUGCGAGUGAGACAAUCCAUUUGUCGCGCUCCUCCAUUUUCUCAAAUGAUACUGAUAUUCCUCCCAAGGGAAUUUAUCAACCAUCACAUCAAUGUGGUGAGGUAAGUUGUUUUCUUGAUUCGUAUUGCACACGAAUAUAUGAUGCUUUCUGCUACUGUUCUAAAGACAAUCUUUUGUAACUAACAUCAGGGACGCGAACCUUUUGUCUCAUAUGAAGGUCUUGAACAGCUCCACCGCUUCUUGUUUGUUCUUGGUAUCACCCAUGUCCUGUACAGUUGUAUUGUUGUGGGCUUGGCCAUGAGUAAGGUAGAGUUCCCAUAUCAAGCUUUUAUAGGCAGAGUCCUUAUGCAACCAACAGUAGUGUACAUAGGAUUUUGUCGCCUCAUUAUCACAAUUCGACUUUGUAUGUGAGUUUGGGUUUAGGGCGGUAGAUACUUCUUGUAUCGAAUUGAUGUUUUUACUUUGCAUUAUUCUCAAAUAGUGUCAGUCUAUACAUAUAAAUAUAUACAUGUUGUUUUGAAAAGAAAGUAGUAUUAUUUACUAUAUAUUUUGUGAAGUUAUUUGUCUAAGUGAUGUCGGAUGAUACCCCUAUAUACAGGGUUCAUGCUCUUCUUUGUUUGUGCUUUUGAAAUUAAGGCAUGCAGGAUAAUUAUUCUCUCCUGAUGAAUUUGAUUGUAGAUCUACAGUUGGAGGAAGUGGGAAAACCAAGUGAGCUCUGGGACAGAGAACAGCUUACAAGGUACGUGGAAUUGAAGAUAAUAAACUACGUGCACACAAUAUAAAUUCACCCUCUUUCUGAAUGAGCGAAAAAUAUAAGUUAAUACUUGCACAAAAUACGAAUUUUAAGGAAACUUAAUAUGGAUAGUUCAACAUAUAUGCAAUUUGAUUGCGCGAAUUGUCUUAAAUAUUAAACAUGUGCUCUGAUAUUUUAGCAUAGAGCUGAGCUUCUAAGUAGUGUCUCUACAUAUCAUUCUUGUAUUAUCUUUUUCUGUUAUUUUUAGUGCCAAAGAAUAAGGAGAUGAGGCGACAAUCCACCUUCGCUCUGCAUCAUGCUUCUCAUCCAUGGAGUAGGAGUCGAAUUCUUAUAUGGAUGGUAAUAGCUCUAGCCAUAUUGCAACAACAUUAUACACUCGUUUGUAAAGUUUGAGGAGGAUCUUGAUUUUUAACACAAGGAGGGGAAAUGAUUGUCACCGCAUAGGUUAAUGAACUAUAAAUGGAUUUGGACACCGGCCACUAGACUUCUUUUCAAGUCGCCGAAAUAUUAUCUUCUUGUCAAAAUUUUCAAUUUGUAUUAGACUAAACUAUUGUUACAGUCAAUUGUUCCCUUCACCCCUCUUCAAUUGGUCCAUUGAUUUCUUAAGACAGAGACUUGUCAGCCUCCCUUGCAAACAACAAAUUCCCAUACAUUUUGUCUUGAAUAUUAUUUUAGCAAUUUGUUUUUAGAUUAGCUCUACAUAUAUGUAUUUGACAUACAUUUGUUUUGUAAUCUUGCAGCUUUGCUUUCUAAGGCAGUUCAGGACUUCAAUUCAAAAGUCAGAUUACUUGGCACUGAGAUUGGGCUUUAUCACUGUAGGUAUUCAGUUUCUUUUGGUACUUCAUUCCUUUAGAUUAUUCUCCUUAUAAAUAUCUCAGUUCCCCUGUGUAUGUGGAGGGAAGGGAAGAGGCAAAAUGCUUAUUAUCCUUUACAUGGUUAAAAUUCGUCGAACAUCACCCUCAACGUGCUUAAGCAGCUGCAUUCGAAUUGCCACGUUUAUCCUUUUACGAAAACUUUAAGCAAAUCUUGAAAAUGCUGUUGAUGCUAAGUGAUUAAUCUCUGAACACUAAAUUGAAUGCUCUAAUUCUGUUUGUUCUUUAAGUUCAGUAUCCUUGUACUAUUUUGUUGCUUGGAGGUUUUUGUGGAAAAGGUUGUUCUAUUUGUUUGGAAUACCAACUUAAUAUACUAUAACUAGUGAAUAUGCGCGAUUAUAAAAGAAUAUCAAUCUAUGAAAUGAUAAGCAAUCCAGUAUCUUCGAUAUUGAAAAACAAAAUACUCAUAAGCAGCAUACCUUUCGGUUAAUUCAGGCAUAAUAAAUAUUACUAAUAUUUUGAUUGUCAUAAGAAAGUCUUCUUGGGCAUGGGAUCGAUAUUUGGAUGAACAGUACGAUGUGCAACACUAACAAUAUAAUAGCAAAAAGCUUUUUCGGUUCAUCACUCUUCUUCAUAGUUAUUAGCAUAUGCCUUGGAAUAAUUUUGUCCUUGUUAUCAUUAGCCGCAUUCUUAGUUAAUUUUAAUUUCUAUAACCAUUUAUUUCAAAUUAAGUUCACUUAACCCAUUUUAGAAAACUGUAUCCAUAUUAGUAUUUGCGAAUUUCACCUCUAACACAAGCCAAACUACUAAGGUUUAAUUUUUUUUCUCUAAAGUGACUAUGUCUCGACCAAAUAUACAUCCUGACGUAAUGACGUUAUUUCUCAAAAACUAUAAUCAAACCUUCUCUUAUGUAGAUGUUAGUGAAAUAAUGGAAAUGAAGCAAUAAUCAACUAAUUUCUAUACUAUUGAGGCAAUAUUCUUUAUCAUUUCUAUCUUUGACAACUUAUUAUAUCCCCAGUAACCACCAACCAAACUAAUUCCUGUCUAAGAGAAUGGACGAAGAAGGAAUCAAAGCCAAGGGCAUAUAAACAAUCAGUAUGAAGCAAACUUAAUUUCCAUCUAAAUUAAGGUACCUUACAUUAAGCAAAAUCUGUCGAGAUAUUUUUCAUUUUUCGAAGAUGAACUAUCAAGGGAAAAAAAUUAUUCUCAAGUUACUUUAAAUUUCAUCUCAAAACUAUAUAUGUAACUCCACCUCAUUUCAUGAUUUCUAACAUGACAAAAUAGUUUGAUGUUUUUAUAUUAGCUAAUUCCCAAAGACAAUUCCCAUUUCAUUUAAACCCAAAAAGCAAACAGAAUUGAAGAAAAGAGAAAUUAAAAAAAUCGGUAAAUAAUUUAACCUCACUAAACUUGGGAAUAUUUUCUCAUGUCCAUUUUGUUCACAAGUACUUCACCAAUCUAAUAGAUUAGUUGAAACACACUAGAAUUAAAAUUAAAAUCAAUUUAGGCAGAAAUAAGUAAUCAUUUCCAUUUUCUUCUCUAACAAAAGUGAACGAAAUAAAAUUAAAUUUAUAUAUUUUUUAGACUCCGAAACAAAUUGGUCAAAACCUACUUGAGGAAGAAAAUAGAAAAAUUGCCGCCACCCCUCUCCCCCAAAUAGAUUCAUAGAACCAAACAAAUUAUCUACUCAAGGGAGAAAUCAGAAUUUUGCAAACCCACAGACAAAGAUAAGUAACCAAACAAAAAGAGAAUUUCUCAGAAAAUAAAAGAAAAAAGACAAAUACAUAUUCUGAGCACAUGACCUCUCAUAAAACAUACUCCUAUAGUCCUACUACACAGACAUGAAGAGGAUUACCUUGAAUUCAAGUUACCGCUCAACAUAGAAGUGCUUGACCGCACAGUUAGUCUUCCCAAAUCCCAGCCACAGUUAAGCUUCUGUAGAAAGAGACGUUUUCCUCCUAUGUAACCAGCUUAAUUUGGUUGUCUGCAAACCGGAUAGGCUUCUGCUAGUUGUUAAUUAGAUGCGACUCAUGAGAGACCUCCUUGAUUUCUUCUUCUUACCUUUUUCCUCCUCAACAGUCUAAAAAUCACCCUUUUACGGUUUCUUGUAUGCAUCAUCUUCACAGAUUUACGACCAACACUUGAGAGGAAGUUAACACCUAGAUCACCAUCUUAGGCUAACUGGCACGUAUAAUAUUAAUCCUAAUCCUCCAAAAAGAGAGAGAAGAUAAGUGAAUUUGGUGCUUGUCAUAGCAAGUUAUCUUGCCGCUAAUUUGUUGUGCCGAGGGAAAGGUAUUUAGCAGGAAAAGGUGCUAUCAUAAUAAUAAAAGUGUCCUUGAAGUUUUUUCUUCUUUUAAAGUAACACAUUAGUAGAAGAAACGGUACAUGUAACCGUUACUGCUUUAAAGGAAAACAAAAAGAUUGCAUUAUAAGAAUUGGAAAGUGUCGUUUCAUUUUUUAACAGUUACUCCUACUACUUUUGGGCUAUUAAAAAUGAGAUGAGGUAAAUGGAGAAAUAAAGGGAAAGAAGUCAAAUAAAGGAGAAAAAAGAUAAUUAGCUUUCUUGGCCAAAGAGAGGUGCCAAGUCAGCACUCUUUUUCCCUCCUUUAUAUAUAUAGAUAUAUAUAUAGAUAUAGAUUAAUGAUAUUGAGAGAAGAGGACACAUUUACAGCUGUUUUAUUAUUUAUUCACAACAAGAAGCAGUAAUGGCUGUUACUCUCAAAAUUCAAUUGCAUCAGACUAUUUAUCUGCAUUGCCUCAUUCUUGCUUCUAUAACAUGCAGAAUCACAAGCUUCCACUUACUUACAAUUUCCAUAAGUACAUGGUUCGUAGCAUGGAAGAUGAAUUUUAUGAAAUUGUAGGGAUCAGGUAUGUUUUUGUUAUUUGUUUAGAUCAUUUUAGUUCACAAUAGGUGGGAGGAUAUUUUGAGUCAGUAAUUAUGACACUUCAUCUUAUAACAUCUAAUUAAAAGUCCUACCUGAGGGUAUGUUGACGUAUAUUAUAAAUGUUUCUAGGUGUUUUGGGCAAAUUUUUGCAAACGUAUAUAUGUUCUAAGUUGUUGGGAUCAAAGAAAGAGAAGAGGAAAUCUCAUCGAUGUAGUUCUAUUGCUAUUUGAUGCUAGCUUCUUCUAGAAAUGGGUGUUUAAUUAGAAUAGUUGUGCUGACUUUGCAGUUGGCUACUUUGGAGUUAUGCCAUCAUAUGCAUCUUCAUCAAUAUUCAUGGUAAUUAAAUUUUCUAAUGUGAAAACAUCAUUUUUGGCUCGUUCAAGUUUCAGAGUGAUGUUUCAUAUAUAAUGCAGGUCUUGAUAUCUACUUCUGGCUUUCUUUUGUUCCUGCCAUUGUAAGUCCGCCUACCUUCUUUGGUCCGUUACCUAAUUGAAAUAUGAAAUGAUCUACUAUAUAUUUUCUUGUGCCAAAGCUUGUGAUGGUGGUUGGAACAAAACUACAGCAUGUAGUCUCUGUGUUGGCACUUGAAAUUGCAGAGCCUAAGGAUCCACUAAUUAUUGGAACACAAGUAAAGCCACGCGAUGAAUUGUUUUGGUUUGGGAAACCGAAGAUACUAUUACGGUUAAUACAGUUCAUAUCAUUUCAGGUCAAUAGCUCUUAUACUCGAUUCACUGUUCAAUAUUCAUUUCAUGCAAAACAAAUGAAUCCAUCUUUUUUGUGUGUGUACGCAGAAUGCUUUUGAAAUGGCAACAUUUAUCUGGUCCUUGGUGAGAUUCAUUGCCUUUCUUCUUGUUUAAGAUUAAUACAUUGUCUUCUGCUAAUUAAAAAUGAAUGAAUGUGGAGUGGAUAAUCAGUAUGAAAGGAAUUUAUGCACAUCUACAUAUGACGAGACAACAACACAUCCCUUGAACCAAAGUCGGACAUUUAAUGGUUCAAUCAUAGUAACCUUAAAUUAGUUAUUUAAUAAGACUGGAUUCCCUUCAGGUAGUUGAGGAUUCUUCCCCUAUGCUAUCAUUUUUUAUCAAUUUUUCAUUUUCUUAAUGCUUUAGAAAUGAAAACAAACAGGUCACUUCUCUCUCUCUCUCUAUUUGGUUGAAUUCUUUUUAUUUUUAUCUGAGAAAAUUACAAGUUCAGUUUGCACACUCUCUUCAACAUAAUAUGCUCAAGUGAUUUAUUGACAUGAAAAUAAUGUCAGAAAACUAAUAUUUGCACUUUUUGGAGGGCUACCUACUCAUACAAUGCAAGCUGUUGUUAUUAUGAAACCAUGUAUUUGUAUUGGCUUAGAAGUUAUUUUUAAUUUCUGUGGAGAAGAAUAUUGAUGAUUCAUUUCAUAACAGUAUUAAUCGAAUUGUGCAGUGGGGUUUCGAGCAACGGGCGUGCUUUAUGAAGAACCAUGCGAUGGUUGUUAUCAGAUUGAUUUCAGGGUAUGUAAAUUAAUAUACACUUUUACCCCCUUUCACUUAUCGUUAUAUGAGCUGUUUGCACGUAGAUCUCAAUUCUCACCACAGUAGCGUCUAAUCUCACUUCUCCGUCAUUCUUCCUAUGGGGUAAACAUGCAGUGCAAAAGAUACUUGAAUAAAGAUUGUGACCCUUUUGAAACAUGUACGUACUGAAAAAAUUGGAUCCUUAGAAGAUGUUUUUGGUACCUAGAAGCUGCACUCAUUGAACAUUAAAAUAGAAUCCGUAAUAUAUCUUUUAUAACAUGUAGUGUAUGAUGAAUAUUAGUAGACCUAUUUGGUACUCAAAAACCGCACUCUUUGAACAGGGUUCUUGUGCAGUUCUGGUGUAGCCGCAGCACUGUUCCUUUAAACGUAAUUAUCUCACAGGUGAUUCUAUUUCUCUAUUCUUAUAUUAUUGAAAUGUCAACAGUCCACUAAACUAGUCUUAGGCUAAUGACAAUUGUUUUGAUUAUAGAUGGGUUCGCGGUGUGGAAAGGCUCUCGUUGCAGAAAGUGUUCGAGAAUCACUUCACAGUUGGUGUAAGAGAGUAAAGGACAAGUCUAAACGAGAUGCUGCUUUACGCUCUAUCACUACAAGAUCAACGUGUUCCCUAGGAUCAACAAUUGAUGAGAUAGCAACAGUAACUUUAUCUCCAUGUUCUUCUAGAGGCUCAUUUCACCACCUAGAUGAGAAUGUCCUGUCAAAUGAUCAGCAAGAAGAUUGCAUUGUUGAAACCUCAUAUGAACUUUCCUUCAGAAACGUUAACAGGGAAUAUUCAUCGGAACAUCUGGCCAAUGAUACAGAGGAGAAUGCGGAUAAUGAGAGGCAUUCAUCUGAACCUCUGGUUACUGAUAUAGAGGAGGCAGGCAAGCCAGAUACUCUCUUUGAUCUGUUUCAAAAGACAUGAAUUUUUCAAUCUGGCAAUUCCAUACUCAGACACUAGACACAAAUAUUUAUUGCUGCCUUUGCUAUCUGGCAAUGGAGAACACUUCUCUAGGUUUAAGGUAGAUUAGGAAUGAAACAGUCUUGAUGAAUAUACGCCCAAUUUUACAUGGAAAUUUGUUCAGUUGGAUCUUUUCAUCUUUGCUCGCAGCAAUUGCGCCCUCUCAUGAGAACCAAUAAUCGCAUCAAAGACCACUCUAACUGGCUAAUCGUAAAUAGCCCUAGGGUGAUGUAACAAAGUAUUAUCUUGGACCUUAAUCAAGGUAAUUUUCUAAUCUCGCAAAAUGUGACAAGAUAAGAUAAGAUAGACCCAAUUUUCUCUUGGUUGGACAUGGAUUACAUUUUGCAUCUAUGCCAAAAAAAAUUUAACUAGACAAAUUUAGGCAAACCACUUGGCCACUAUUAUUAAACCAUAUCCCAUUUCAUUGGUGUACAAAUUUGAUUCCUAAGGUGAAUUUGGGACAAGUUAAAUCUACAUGAAAAUUAACACAUCAUCAGCAUCUAAAAACAGGGAAUAAGGAGAUGAAAGUUGAUAUACUAAGCAAAUCAAAGUCAUUGACUUGAAGUUGCAACAUUGCAUCUUUUAUGAUAACAAAAGAGUUACAUAUGAAAUUAAAUGCUCAUCAAACAGAUUAAAGUGUUUUUUGAAAUAAUGAGAGGGGCUUAGCCAGUGAGCUCCUCCUCCUUAUGGGUCUCAAUAGUAACAUCAGACUGUGGGUAAGCAACACAGGUUAGCACAAAUCCAUCAGCCAUUUGGUCAUCAUCAAGAAAGUUUCCAUCAGACUGAUCAACAUUUCCACCUGUAACUUUUCCAGCACAAGAAGAGCAAGAACCAGCUCUGCAACUGUAAGGAAGCUCAUGUCCCUCUUCCUCAGCUUGGUCAAGAAUGUAAACAUCAUCUGGACAAUCAAACUCAACUGUUCCCUCUGGUGUAAUAAGCU
Molecule: long non-coding RNA, 9926 nt
Filed under: Nicotiana tabacum (common tobacco)
Lineage: Eukaryota; Viridiplantae; Streptophyta; Magnoliopsida; Solanales; Solanaceae
Description: long non-coding RNA (NTAB_LNC010267)
Source: RNAcentral